AUUAUAUCAACUAUAAACAGAAGAAAUUUAGAGUUUAAGGUUUACAGUCCUUACACAGUAAAUUAGAAUAACUAAUAGGGUUACGGGAAUGUCCCUUUAUAGAAGUUCAAAGUAAUUAAAACAAAAUGAAAUUAAAAGUCCUAUAGGGUUAACCUCCGCUAGGCAACUCUAGAGUUCGGGCGGUAACCUUUAUUCGUAACCCUCAUACUAUUCAAGAUCUGAAUCUUAAUCUUCCUGAUCUAAAACAGUU
RNAcentral lists this long non-coding RNA (250 nucleotides) under Carica papaya (papaya). RNAcentral's name for it is "long non-coding RNA (CPAP_LNC010840)". Lineage: Eukaryota; Viridiplantae; Streptophyta; Magnoliopsida; Brassicales; Caricaceae. The record is from RNAcentral.